UACAGAGGUCUCAAGCGUUGUUCGGAUUCAUUGGGCGUAAAGGGUGCGUAGGUGGCGCCGUAAGUCGGGUGUGAAAUUUCGGAGCUUAACUCCGAAACUGCAUUCGAUACUGCGGUGCUUGAGGACUGGAGAGGAGACUGGAAUUCCUGGUGUAGCGGUGAAAUGCGCAGAUAUCAGGAGGAACACCGGUGGCGAAGGCGGGUCUCUGGGCAACAACUGACGCUGAGGAGCGAAAGUGUGGGGAGCGAACAGG
This 253-nucleotide ribosomal RNA is filed under the name uncultured bacterium. RNAcentral describes it as "partial 16S ribosomal RNA". It matches the Rfam family "Bacterial small subunit ribosomal RNA", at positions 524 to 776 of the family's 1533-position model. The record is from RNAcentral.